Molecule: ribosomal RNA, 742 nt
Filed under: Streptococcus sobrinus TCI-194
Lineage: Bacteria; Bacillati; Bacillota; Bacilli; Lactobacillales; Streptococcaceae
Description: bacterial SSU rRNA
Rfam family: Bacterial small subunit ribosomal RNA
Source: RNAcentral
AGAUACCCUGGUAGUCCACGCCGUAAACGCUGAGUGCUAGGUGUUAGGUCCUUUCCGGGACUUAGUGCCGACGCUAACGCAUUAAGCACUCCGCCUGGGGAGUACGACCGCAAGGUUGAAACUCAAAGGAAUUGACGGGGGCCCGCACAAGCGGUGGAGCAUGUGGUUUAAUUCGAAGCAACGCGAAGAACCUUACCAGGUCUUGACAUCCCGAUGCCCGCUCUAGAGAUAGAGUUUUUCUUCGGAACAUCGGAGACAGGUGGUGCAUGGUUGUCGUCAGCUCGUGUCGUGAGAUGUUGGGUUAAGUCCCGCAACGAGCGCAACCCUUAUUGUUAGUUGCCAUCAUUAAGUUGGGCACUCUAGCGAGACUGCCGGUAAUAAACCGGAGGAAGGUGGGGAUGACGUCAAAUCAUCAUGCCCCUUAUGACCUGGGCUACACACGUGCUACAAUGGUUGGUACAACGAGUCGCAAGCCGGUGACGGCAAGCUAAUCUCUGAAAGCCAAUCUCAGUUCGGAUUGUAGGCUGCAACUCGCCUACAUGAAGUCGGAAUCGCUAGUAAUCGCGGAUCAGCACGCCGCGGUGAAUACGUUCCCGGGCCUUGUACACACCGCCCGUCACACCACGAGAGUUUGUAACACCCAAAGUCGGUGAGGUAACCAUUUAUGGGGCCAGCCGCCUAAGGUGGGAUGGAUGAUUGGGGUGAAGUCGUAACAAGGUAGCCGUAUCGGAAGGUGCGGCUG